AGAGGCCACUGCUAUCAGCGUCCGACUAAGCCAUGCGAGUCGUGGGCACCCCCUCAAGGGGGAGACCCGGCGGACGGCUCAGUAACACGUGGCUAACCUACCCUCGGGUCCGGGAUAACCCCGGGAAACUGGGGAUAAUACCGGAUAGGCCUCUGAUACCUGGAAUGGGCGGAGGCCGAAAGCCGUGAGGCGCCCGAGGAUGGGGCUGCGGCCGAUUAGGUAGUUGUCGGUUUAACGGGCCGACAAGCCUACGAUCGGUACGGGCCGUGAGAGCGGGAGCCCGGAGAUGGGCUCUGAGACAAGAGCCCAGGCCCUACGGGGCGCAGCAGGCGCGAAACCUUCACAAUGCCCGAAAGGGCGAUGAGGGGACGCUGAGUGCCCUUCGGGGCUGUUCGGGUGCCUAAAAAGCACCCGGAGUAAGGGCUGGGUAAGACCGGUGCCAGCCGCCGCGGUAAUACCGGCAGCCCGAGUGGUGGCCGCGUUUAUUGGGCCUAAAGGGUCCGUAGCCGGUAGGGUAAGUUCCUCGGGAAACCUCGCCGCUCAACGGUGAGGCUUCCGGGGAAUACUGCCCGACUUGGGACCGGGAUGGGCCGGAGGUACUCCCGGGGUAGGGGUGAAAUCCGUUGAUCCC
This 631-nucleotide ribosomal RNA is filed under the name uncultured euryarchaeote. Its description in RNAcentral is "bacterial SSU rRNA". It matches the Rfam family "Archaeal small subunit ribosomal RNA", at positions 19 to 649 of the family's 1478-position model. Lineage: Archaea; Methanobacteriati; Methanobacteriota. The record is from RNAcentral.